AAUUCUCAACCUUUCCAGUUUGUUAUGAACGGGUCAGGCUUGGAUGUGGGGGUUGCAGGCUUCUCAGAAGUCAGCUCCUCUUAAAUACAUUAGCAGUACCUUUGUGGACCAGCUUUGGUGUGAUAAUUAUCUACGCCAUGGUUGUGAAGCAGCUUUACAUGGGGUUCAGCUUCUAACAGUCCAUUGACUUGGACAAUUUUUGACA
Molecule: unclassified non-coding RNA, 205 nt
Filed under: Clitocybe nebularis
Lineage: Eukaryota; Fungi; Basidiomycota; Agaricomycetes; Agaricales; Clitocybaceae
Description: partial internal transcribed spacer 2
Source: RNAcentral